This is a long non-coding RNA of Oncorhynchus masou masou (cherry salmon), 954 nucleotides long. RefSeq lists it as uncharacterized. The record is from RefSeq and is a predicted model, not a curated record. NCBI's taxonomy places the organism in Eukaryota, Metazoa, Chordata, Actinopteri, Salmoniformes, Salmonidae. The transcript has 5 exons.
GGGGAAUGAAGUGAACAAGUCUCACCAUGGAGAACACAUCAUAGAGGUGUUCCCCAGAGACCUGAGACAAAAAGAAAAGUUCCUCAAACACCUAACAGGUCCUCUAUUCUUUAAUCCAAGGUGCAGGAAACACUUCUAUAGACUAUACCACAACACCAGAGACUGUACCAUCCCUGCCUACUAUAAGAGGUGUGCCCGUCUUCUCACCAGACUGGCAGGCAGUCAGAGGUGUACAGAGAGGUAGAAUACCCUGAGCCCGUGACAGAGAGAAGUGCCUUGAAAAGCAACGGGGAAUUGAGAUUGUUGGUUACGUUCGCACCACAGACUGCCACUGUUUGCAGAGAGCUCCCACAAUACUCUACUCUACAUUCUAAAUGGUGCAAAUGAAGAGACUUGUUGGACAGAAGAAAAUACAUCCUCAUAGUUCUACUGCCAAAAACCAUGACGACACAACACGUGGAUAUGAGUUUGGAUACUAGUUUACGACACGUGGAUACUAGUUUGGACACUAGUUUACGACACUUGGAUUAUAUUUUUCGUACAACAUGCCACUCUCUGGGACAGCUUCAGUGGUCAUCGACAUGCCUUCACGUUUUAAUUUGAGUUUUUAAUCAUUUUGCUUUUGGAUUACGGUUGGAGAUUGGACGGUGGUCUCUGAGCUGUGGUGGUUGUGUGUUGUGGGCAAUGGCUUCAGACUGAAAUAUAGACAGAUCUUCUCUUCAGCUACAUUCCACAAAGGUGAACUAAUCUAAUCCCCAAUGAAGUGACCUAUUGAUCGCCUGGUGGUAAUCUACACCCUGAUGGAAUGGUAGCUGGUAGCCUGGUGGUAAUCUACACCUUGAUGGAAUGGUAGCUGGUAGCCUGGUGGUAAUCUAAACCCUGAUGGAAUGGUAGCUGGUAGCCUGGUGGUAAUCUACACCCUGAUGGAAUGGUAGCUGGUAGCCUGGUGGUAAU